GAUGAACGCUGGCGGCGUGCCUAAUACAUGCAAGUCGAGCGAACGGACGAGAAGCUUGCUUCUCUGAUGUUAGCGGCGGACGGGUGAGUAACACGUGGAUAACCUACCUAUAAGACUGGGAUAACUUCGGGAAACCGGAGCUAAUACCGGAUAAUAUUUUGAACCGCAUGGUUCAAAAGUGAAAGACGGUCUUGCUGUCACUUAUAGAUUGAUCCGCGCUGCAUUAGCUAGUUGGUAAGGUAACGGCUUACCAAGGCAACGAUGCAUAGCCGACCUGAAGGGGUGGUCGGCCACACUGUAACUGAGAAACGGCCCAGACUCCGACGGGAGGCAGCAGUAGGGAAUCUUCCGCAAUGGGCGAAAGCCUGACGGAGCAACGCCGCGUGAGUGAUGAAGGUCUUCGGAUCGUAAAACUCUGUUAUUAGGGAAGAACAUAUGUGUAAGUAACUGUGCACAUCUUGACGGUACCUAAUCAGAAAGCCACGGCUAACUACGUG
RNAcentral lists this ribosomal RNA (497 nucleotides) under uncultured bacterium. RNAcentral describes it as "partial 16S ribosomal RNA". It matches the Rfam family "Bacterial small subunit ribosomal RNA", at positions 28 to 507 of the family's 1533-position model. The record is from RNAcentral.